GAUGAACGCUGGCGGCGUGCCUAAUACAUGCAAGUCGAGCGAACAGACGAGGAGCUUGCUCCUCUGACGUUAGCGGCGGACGGGUGAGUAACACGUGGAUAACCUACCUAUAAGACUGGGAUAACUUCGGGAAACCGGAGCUCAUACCGGAUAAUAUAUUGAACCGCAUGGUUCAAUAGUGAAAGACGGUUUUGCUGUCACUUAUAGAUGGAUCCGCGCCGCAUUAGCUAGUUGGUAAGGCAACGGCUUACCAAGGAGACGAUGCGUAGCCGACCUGAGAGGGUGAUAGGCCACACUGGAACUGAGACACGGUCCAGACUCCUACGGGAGGCAGCAGUAGGGAAUCUGCCGCAAUGGGCGAAAGCCUGACGGAGCAACGCCGCGUGAGUGAUGAAGGUCUUCGGAUCGUAAAACUCUGUUAUUAGGGAAGAACAAAUGUGUAAGUAACUAUGCACGUCUUGACGGUACCUAAGCAGAAAGCCACGGCUAACUACGU
Molecule: ribosomal RNA, 496 nt
Filed under: uncultured bacterium
Lineage: Bacteria
Description: partial 16S ribosomal RNA
Rfam family: Bacterial small subunit ribosomal RNA
Source: RNAcentral